GGACGAAAGUCUGACGCAGCGACGCCGCGUGGAGGAUGAAGGUUUUCGGAUCGUAAAACUCCUGUCAAGAGGGAAGAAACCUAUUAUGAAUAAUACUCAUAGUAAUUGACGGUACCUCUAGAGGAAGCACCGGCUAAUUCAGUGCCAGCAGCCGCGGUAAUACUGAAGGUGCAAGCGUUAAUCGGAAUCACUGGGCGUAAAGCGCUCGUAGGUGGCUUUGUAAGUCAGGUGUGAAAGCCCACGGCUCAACCGUGGAAUUGCACUUGAUACUGCAUCGCUAGAGUAUAGGAGAGGGAAGUGGAAUUUCUGGUGUAGGAGUGAAAUCCGUAGAGAUCAGAAGGAACACCCGUGGCGAAGGCGACUUCCUGGACUAUUACUGACACUGAGGAGCGAAAGCGUGGGGAGCAAACAGGAUUAGAUACCCCUGGUAG
RNAcentral lists this ribosomal RNA (431 nucleotides) under uncultured bacterium. RNAcentral describes it as "bacterial SSU rRNA". It matches the Rfam family "Bacterial small subunit ribosomal RNA", at positions 373 to 793 of the family's 1533-position model. The record is from RNAcentral.